UAGUUGUGUUCUUGAAACUUAAAGAAUUUGGCGGUAUCCUACUCCGUUCAGAGGAAUCUGUCUCGUUAUCGAUAGUCCGCGUUGGACCUUGCUUAGGGUUAAUUUUGGUUUGUAUACCGCCGUUUAUUGAUUAUCUUUUUAGAGUAUCUUGAAUUUUCUGGUUUCUUUAAUUUGAUUUAUUGCAGGUCAAGGUGCAGCUUUUUCUAAGUGUAAUGAUGGAUUACAGUGGUAUGUGUUGUUUGGAUUGUUUGUUUAAAUAUGGGCAUGAAAUUGGAUUUGGUUGUAAUGUUUUGUAGAUUGUUUUCAUGAUAGUUGGUUCUAGGAUAUGUACACAUCGCCCGUCGCUCUCAUUUAAGUUUUUGAUGAGAUAAGUCGUAACAUAGUAACGUACUCCAUCGGGCCUUCCCCUGAUGACGCUCUUUAAUGAUUUCCGUACCUCCUAUUAUAACAGGUCUUUACAAAUAAAAAACUUCCUCAAAAAAGCAUCACUCGUUAACCAUUAAAUUAUAAAUUUUGAUCUUUUCCAAUUUAAAAAACCUGAAUUUCCCUAAUUUCUAACAAUUAUUUUUUCUUUUAAUAAACCAAUAUUUCCUGCUCACUUCCCAAAAAUAAAAUACAAAAUACCAUUAUCUUUUUUGUUUUCGCCACCACCAG
This 654-nucleotide ribosomal RNA is filed under the name Odontotermes gurdaspurensis. Its description in RNAcentral is "partial 12S ribosomal RNA". Lineage: Eukaryota; Metazoa; Arthropoda; Insecta; Blattodea; Termitidae. The record is from RNAcentral.